GUGGGGAAUAUUGGGCAAUGGGCGAAAGCCUGACCCAGCAACGCCGCGUGAAGGAAGAAGGUUUUCGGAUUGUAAACUUCUGUCCUCAGGGAAGAAGAAAGUGACGGUACCUGAGGAGGAAGCCCCGGCUAACUACGUGCCAGCAGCCGCGGUAAUACGUAGGGGGCGAGCGUUGUCCGGAAUGACUGGGCGUAAAGGGCGCGUAGACGGCUGUCUAAGUCUGGAGUGAAAGUCCUGCUUUCAAGGUGGGAAUUGCUUUGGAGACUGGAUGGCUUGAGUGCGGAAGAGGUAAGUGGAAUUCCCAGUGUAGCGGUGAAAUGCGUAGAGAUUGGGAGGAACACCAGUGGCGAAGGCGACUUACUGGGCCGUAACUGACGUUGAUGCGCGAAAGCGUGGGGAGCGAACAGGAUUAGAUACCCCAGUAGUCC
RNAcentral lists this ribosomal RNA (428 nucleotides) under uncultured bacterium. Its description in RNAcentral is "partial 16S ribosomal RNA". It matches the Rfam family "Bacterial small subunit ribosomal RNA", at positions 354 to 796 of the family's 1533-position model. The record is from RNAcentral.